AGACUCUCCUCAGAUCGAUAAGGCUUUUUCUAAGUACACCACGCCAGGAUUUCCCUCAGCAAUUAGGCCUGUAUGAGUUUCCUUCUCUGGAAAUAAAUAGAUCACUUGCAAAUGGCAUCUCUGUUGACAUACAGCAGAUUCUAAACAGAAGGACUCAAGCCAGUAUCUCUGGAAAGCAUGCUCAGAUUUCACUCGCAGUGAUGCUUGAUAAAUGAAUACAAGAAAGCUACAAGUCCGCUUAUCACCUGAGACGUGAGAAGAGCUCAGUGAAACUCUCUAACAUGCAAUGACAGAUCAGUUCCUCAUACUUGUAGCACUGGGCUACAAAGAGGCACAAGAAGAGGGAAGCAGAAAGAUUGUAAGAGCCAGAGGAACAGGAAUCUUGCUAUGAGGCUGUGUCUCCCUGAAGUUUUGGAGAACAUACACCCAUCAAGUCUUACCAACAAGACUGCCACAAUCUGACCUGAACAAGGACAUCAAAA
This is a long non-coding RNA of Mastomys coucha (southern multimammate mouse), 482 nucleotides long. RefSeq lists it as uncharacterized. Lineage: Eukaryota; Metazoa; Chordata; Mammalia; Rodentia; Muridae. The record is from RefSeq and is a predicted model, not a curated record. The transcript is spliced from 5 exons.